CGGAUCCGAGGAAUGAAUGUGGGGUGGGGGCGCGAGGGAAACUUUCCCGGCGCCUCUCCCUGGCCGGGGAAGGGGCAUCCCUCUGCUCCUCCAGCCCGGGGAGUCCUCCUCCGGGUCUGAAUCUGCGGCGUCACAGCUGGCGAAAGGGCCGGUCUCCGUGGCCCUGGAUGUCUGAGCAGGCAUCUGGGGUUCCCCGGUCAAGGGUCAGGUAACCCUGGGCUCCGAUAGAUACCCCCGCCCCAGGGUGGGUAGUUUUGCUUGAAAAAGAAGAGCCCUGCUUGGGGGUGGGGCGCCAAGAUCCCUGCCUAAGAAAGACCUCCAGCUCCUCCGUGAGCCCUGUCCCCUCCCCCGUUUUCCAAGAGGUCUCAGACUCCGAAUGGGGUUCAGGCCUGAUCAGAGAAGGCUACCAUCCCCCACAGUCUUUAGGGGGUCUACACCCCUCCCCAUUUUUGCCCCAACCAAGAGAGACCCUGGGGCCUAGACAGGAGGGAAGGUGGGCCUGGGGAGGCCUCUGGACCUGGUGGGGCCGGUCGGGGCUUGCAGACUGUACUUGGAGCUUCAGUGUUGACAGUGAGGACAGUUGUGGGUGUGGAUGUUGAAGGGUGCCCCCCCAAUCCAGAACCGGUGAGGUGCCAGGUGUCUGUAGGGGCAUCGGUAUAGGCAGGCAGGCCCCCAGGGGAGAGUUGUUCCUCUAGGACGCGGCAGAAGGUUCCAAGUGGGACUCUUCAGAUCACUCCCAGGGCCCAGCGCUGGAGCCUGGAGAAGGGGUUUGGGGUCUCCUGGGCUUCAGGCCUCAUGCUGUCACUGGCCAGUCAUCAGGAACCCCAGGCCACUCCAGCCGCCCCAGCCAGCGGGCCCUGGCUUCCCCCUAAGGCCUCAGUGGCAGGAGAGGGUGUGUGUGUGUGGCCCCUGGGGGGGCUGACAGAGCCCUGCUGGAAGCGGGCCCCCAGGCAGGUGUCACUCCUGGGCUCCCUCCCUCCUCAGAUGAGGCUGAUGGCCUGGUGUCAAUCCCCACAGUCCUCUGCUGACCCUGCAGACAGAAAAGGGUCUGCUCACCUCCCCUGUGAGGGGCAACUCCCCCUGACUCCCACCCCAGAGCGGCUUUCCUCCACCAUCGCCCACGAGCAUCCCACCUGCUGCAGGAGGCUCGCUGCGUGGGCAUGA
This 1164-nucleotide long non-coding RNA is filed under the name Capra hircus (goat). RNAcentral describes it as "lncRNA (ENSCHIG00010010779.1)". The record is from RNAcentral. Lineage: Eukaryota; Metazoa; Chordata; Mammalia; Artiodactyla; Bovidae.